RNAcentral lists this ribosomal RNA (905 nucleotides) under uncultured archaeon. RNAcentral describes it as "bacterial SSU rRNA". It matches the Rfam family "Archaeal small subunit ribosomal RNA", at positions 21 to 903 of the family's 1478-position model. The record is from RNAcentral.
CCUCACUGCUAUCGGGGUGGGACUAAGACAUGCGAGUCGUACGCCUCCCGGCUGCCGGGGGAGGCGUGGCGCACGGCUCCGUAACACGUGGCUAACCUACCCUUGGGACGGGGAUAACCCCGGGAAACUGGGCUAAUCCCCGAUAGGCGAGGAUGCCUGGAAUGGUUCCUCGCCGAAAGGGCGCCGGCACCGUGCUGUCGGCGUCGCCCGAGGAUGGGGCCGCGGCCGAUCAGGUUGUUGGUGGGGUAACGGCCCACCAAGCCGAUAACCGGUACGGGCCGUGAGAGCGGGAGCCCGGAGAUGGGCACUGAGAUAAGGGCCCAGGCCCUGCGGGGCGCAGCAGUCGCGAAACCUCCGCAAUGCGCGAAAGCGCGACGGGGCCACCCCGAGUGCCGCCCGCUGAGGGUGGCUUUUCCCCGGUGUAGAUAGCCGGGGGAAUAAGGGGAGGGCAAGUCUGGUGUCAGCCGCCGCGGUAAUACCAGCUCCCCGAGUGGUGGGGAUGAUUAUUGGGCCUAAAGCGUCCGUAGCCGGCCCGGCAAGUCUCCCGUUAAAUCCAGCGAUCUAAUCGCUGGACUGCGGGAGAUACUGUUGGGCUAGGGGGCGGGAGAGGCCGGCGGUAUUCCCGGGGUAGGGGUGAAAUCCUAUAAUCCCGGGAGGACCACCAGUGGCGAAGGCUGCCGGCUGGAACGCGCCCGACGGUGAGGGACGAAAGCCGGGGGAGCGAACCGGAUUAGAUACCCGGGUAGUCCCGGCUGUAAACGAUGCGGGCUAGGUGUUUGGACGGCUACGGGUCGUCCAAGUGCCGCAGGGAAGCCGUUAAGCCCGCCGCCUGGGGAGUACGGCCGCAAGGCUGAAACUUAAAGGAAUUGGCGGGGGAGCACCACAAGGGGUGAAGCUUGCGGUUU